UACGGAGGGUGCAAACGUUGCUCGGAAUCAUUGGGCGUAAAGCGCACGUAGGCGGUCCGGCAAGUCGGGUGUGAAAGCCCUCGGCUUAACCGAGGAAGUGCAUUCGAAACUACCGGACUUGAAUACUGGAGAGGGUCGCGGAAUUCCCGGUGUAGAGGUGAAAUUCGUAGAUAUCUGGAGGAACACCGGUGGCGAAGGCGGCAUCCUGGACCGGUAUUGACGCUGAGGCGCGAAAGCCAGGGGAGCAAACGGG
Molecule: ribosomal RNA, 253 nt
Filed under: uncultured bacterium
Lineage: Bacteria
Description: partial 16S ribosomal RNA
Rfam family: Bacterial small subunit ribosomal RNA
Source: RNAcentral